Molecule: ribosomal RNA, 121 nt
Filed under: Ipomoea nil (Japanese morning glory)
Lineage: Eukaryota; Viridiplantae; Streptophyta; Magnoliopsida; Solanales; Convolvulaceae
Source: RNAcentral
GGAUGCGAUCAUACCAGCACUAAUGCACCGGAUCCCAUCAGAACUCACGAAGUUAAGCGUGCUUGGGCGAGAGUAGUACUAGGAUGGGUGACCCCCCUGGGAAGUCCUCGUGUUGCAUCCC